Phrynosoma platyrhinos (Desert horned lizard) is the source of this 75-nucleotide non-coding RNA. The record is from the annotation of a GenBank genome assembly. NCBI's taxonomy places the organism in Eukaryota, Metazoa, Chordata, Lepidosauria, Squamata, Phrynosomatidae.
GCCAGCAUGGCAUGGUGGUUUGAGCAUUGGACUAGGACUCGGGAGACCUGGGUUCAAAUCCCAGGUGGGAUGGUA